AAGUCUCUGCCCUGUGCGACACCGGACCUUAAUUUGUUGGCCCUACAAGUUCUCCCGCGGGAACUUUUGAGUUCGGGCAACCGUGUCACCAUCAGCGUGAACCACGAGACCCUGAGCCGAGAUUCCCACUUUUUGAAUGCGGGUUCAGAACAAAUUUCGUUCGAACGGCAGGGCGGUGACUUU
This 183-nucleotide non-coding RNA is filed under the name Rubinisphaera sp. Its description in RNAcentral is "6S RNA". It matches the Rfam family "6S / SsrS RNA". From Rfam's summary of the family: E. coli 6S RNA was the first non coding RNA to be sequenced, but its function was unknown until recently. It consists of 184 nucleotides that fold into an extended hairpin structure with a large single-stranded internal bulge. The 6S RNA specifically associates with RNA polymerase holoenzyme containing the sigma70 specificity factor. The record is from RNAcentral. RNAcentral also lists the same sequence under 1 other name. Lineage: Bacteria; Pseudomonadati; Planctomycetota; Planctomycetia; Planctomycetales; Planctomycetaceae.